GGGUGAUUAGCUCAGUUGGUAGAGUACCUCCCUUACAAGGAGGGGGUCGUAGGUUCAAAUCCUGCAUCACCCA
This 73-nucleotide transfer RNA is filed under the name Enterobacteriaceae endosymbiont of Donacia thalassina. RNAcentral describes it as "tRNA-Val". It matches the Rfam family "tRNA". From Rfam's summary of the family: Transfer RNA (tRNA) molecules are approximately 80 nucleotides in length. Their secondary structure includes four short double-helical elements and three loops (D, anti-codon, and T loops). The record is from RNAcentral. Lineage: Bacteria; Pseudomonadati; Pseudomonadota; Gammaproteobacteria; Enterobacterales; Enterobacteriaceae.